GGGGGGGCGAUUCCUCGGCCCCAGAGAGGCGCUUUUUCUUAAAUAAGAAAAAGGGGGGAAAAAAACCCCCCCCCCCCGGGAAGGAGCGGUUUAGGGGUGUUUCCCCCAGCGAUAUAGAGCACGUGCCCUUUGGGGAAAAUAUGAAGCGCUUUUUGGAAAGAGUGUUAAGAGUGUGAAAUAUGUAAAAAGGGGCGCUUUUGAUCUCACCCAUUGUGUGAGAGUCUCCGCGGCGUUUUUGCUUGGUGUAUUUCUCGGUAGCAAGCCAGCAUUGGUUUGGGUCGUCGGAGAAGCGCAUGGGGAAUGUGGCGUUUUCGGAUGUGUUAUAGCCUUAUGCAGGAUACGACGACGUAGAUCAAGGAACGCAGUGUGCUCCCUGGCGGGUUUUCGGACACCUUCA
This 397-nucleotide ribosomal RNA is filed under the name Malassezia globosa. Its description in RNAcentral is "partial large subunit ribosomal RNA". The record is from RNAcentral. Lineage: Eukaryota; Fungi; Basidiomycota; Malasseziomycetes; Malasseziales; Malasseziaceae.